UGCGCGUGGCUCCUCGCGCCCGGUAUUCGAAACACUUCAGUUACACCCCGGUGGCUGAUGAGGCCGUGCAUGGCGACUCUAGAGAGACUGCCUAACCUGUUUGGUGUCCACUGGUGUGGACUGGUAGGACCAUGUCCCACCAGGCCGGAGGAUACGCCGGCGGGGCCGGGGCGGAGGACCGGACUGCAGUGCCACGCUCCUCUGGGGUGACGGUCUCGAGAGAGCUGAGGCCAAGUCACUGGGGGUGAGGCGGUUCAGGUUAACCUGGAAAACGGCUUCUUUUUCUUAAGUCCCCAUGAUCUGGCCUCCAGCGUUCUGGGCGGCCCUCUCGGGUUGAGUGAGGCCGCGUGACCUGACGACUUUCAAAGUUCUCUCCAUGGAGAUUUUUACCCCGCAACCCCAACCGAAGCCUGUACUGCUGGCGGGUAGGGACUUCAGGGUAGUAAGAACGCGUUUAAAGCCAGACGUCAAGUUUAAUUUUGGGGGAGGCCUAGAUGUAUAUUGAAGGAAGCUUGGGCUGGUGGUUGGAGAAUGGGCCUGGUACCCCGAGUCGACCUUGGGUGAUGAACCCCAGACCACUCAUAUAGUUAAGCCACGCAGUUGUUUCGAGUUUUUAACCUUGUCUUCAGAUAAAGUUGGUUAAAGAGAAAGUGCUCUAAGGUCGCUGUAUUUAUUUCCACCGAGACGCUUGAUCUGUUUUGUAGCUUAGAGUAUCAUGUGUUCAGUGAAGGCAUUCCGGAAGGCCUGUGUCUACUUUAGAACUUUAGUAAUUAACCAAAAUGACGAACACAAAGGGAAGGAGGAGAGGCACCCGAUAUAUGUUCUCUAGGCCUUUUAGAAAACAUGGUAAGUAGGUUUACUUUCCUUUAGAGCAAGCAUGGCAUAUGUUUUUAUUAAUGUAUUUGUGUUAUGGUUCAUUUAAUGUUCUUAAAUGACGUUAAAUAGCAUCUUCCUAACAUUUUGUAGCUAAAAUUGGUGAACAAUUAAGUUAGGCUGUGAUUUUGUGGAAUGAUGUUUUACAGAGAGAUUGCUCAUUAGCAACAUUUAAAACUUUACAUGCCUGCCAAAGGUAAUGUGUAUGUAGAAAACUAGGAAAGUUAACAUGUUUGUUUUGUUUAUAUUUAUACUAUACCCUUUUUCUUUUUUGUUUGUAGGAGUUGUUCCUUUGGCGACAUAUAUGCGAAUCUACAAGAAAGGUGAUAUUGUAGACAUUAAGGUAAGUUAUAAGAUUGGGAAACUAACAGUACAGAACCUAUAAAAGUUAGGUAUAAUCUUAUAUUGGAAUUCAGGUACUAGUUUCUUUUUAAUCUAUUGGAUCCUUUCCAUCCCUCUAAAUUUUAGAAAGAAAAUCUGCCAGAAUGAAGUGUUCCUAAGAACAUGGAUUCCUAAGAGUAGAUUUUUUUUUUUUAAGAGAUUUUUUGUUAUAGUAUGUGUUUGCUCACUGGCGCUGGAGAGACAGAGAAAACAAAAAAUUAAUACCUCCUCAUCUGGGGUAUGGCCACGUCGC
Long non-coding RNA from Tupaia belangeri chinensis (Chinese tree shrew), 1507 nucleotides. RefSeq lists it as uncharacterized. Lineage: Eukaryota; Metazoa; Chordata; Mammalia; Scandentia; Tupaiidae. The record is from RefSeq and is a predicted model, not a curated record. The transcript has 3 exons.